GUGCGGGGAGAGGAAGAUAUUUUAUUGAGACAGAGUUCUGAAACUCAAGGCUACUCAGACAUACAGGAGCCGAACUCGAGUCCUUCUGCAAGUGAUGCAUUCAUAGCAGCACUGGACUCUACUUUACCUAUACCACGUAACUGGCAGGAAGCAAAACAAUACCCAGAAUGGAGGAAAGCUAUGAUGGAGGAGAUGGAGGCACUUGACAGAAACAAUACUUGGGUAAUGAUGAUGAUGGGAUAGCAUGCUUGAAGAAGAUGUUGGCAAAAUCAUUUGAAGUCAAGGAUCUGGGUUUUCUUCACUAUUUCCUAGGCAUUGAGUUGUAUAUGGACCAGAAGGAAUUUAUCUAUCCCAGCGAAAAUAUGUGCUUGAUUUACUUGCUGAGACUGGGAUGCUAGGGUGUAAACCAGCUUCUACACCUAUAGAGUUGAACCAUCGUACUCGUGCUGACCUGGGUGACACACUAGAUAAACAAAAUUACCAGAGACUUGUGGGGCGCUUGAUUUAUU
Long non-coding RNA from Lolium rigidum, 509 nucleotides. RefSeq lists it as uncharacterized. The record is from RefSeq and is a predicted model, not a curated record. Lineage: Eukaryota; Viridiplantae; Streptophyta; Magnoliopsida; Poales; Poaceae. The transcript is spliced from 3 exons.